CAGAAGUAAUUGGCUGAUGCGUUGUCACCAACUUCAUGUGCCAGGGCUGAUGCAGCCUGGAGUGCCGCCACCCAAAGCCCACCACAAUAUGCACUCACACCAGAAACAGACCAUGCGUCAUAGGUUUGAUCAGGGAAUCCCUCAUUCUCGAUCAUCCCAUCCCCAUCCUUAUCAAACUGAUCCAUAUAAGCUAUUGCAACAUAUACCGAAGGCCAAACAGCUUUAGCGAAACUUUUGUCACCGGUAGCGACUACAUCCCUGUAUAUCUGGAGAACAAAUUUAGA
Molecule: unclassified non-coding RNA, 284 nt
Filed under: Hevea brasiliensis (rubber tree)
Lineage: Eukaryota; Viridiplantae; Streptophyta; Magnoliopsida; Malpighiales; Euphorbiaceae
Source: RNAcentral